CCUACGGGUGGCUGCAGUAGGGAAUAUUGCUCAAUGGGGGAAACCCUGAAGCAGCAACGCCGCGUGGAGGAUGAAGGUUUUCGGAUUGUAAAAUCCUUUUGUUAGAGAAGAUAAUGACGGUAUCUAACGAAUAAGCACAGGCUAACUCCGUGCCAGCAGCCGCGGUAAUACGGCGGGUGCAAGCGUUACUCGGAAUCACUGGGCGUAAAGAGGGCGUAGGCGGGAUAGCAAGUCAGAUGUGAAAUCCUAUGGCUUAACCAUAGAACUGCAUUUGAAACUGUUAUUCUGGAGUAGGGGAGAGGUAGGUGGAAUUCGUGGUGUAGGGGUAAAAUCCAUAGAGAUCAAGAGGAAUACUCAUUGCGAAGGCGACCUGCUAGAACAUAACUGACGCUGAUGCGCGAAAGCGUGGGGAGCAAACAGGAUUAGAUACCCUUGUAGUC
Molecule: ribosomal RNA, 440 nt
Filed under: uncultured bacterium
Lineage: Bacteria
Description: partial 16S ribosomal RNA
Rfam family: Bacterial small subunit ribosomal RNA
Source: RNAcentral